Molecule: non-coding RNA, 342 nt
Organism: Manis javanica (Malayan pangolin)
Lineage: Eukaryota; Metazoa; Chordata; Mammalia; Pholidota; Manidae
Source: RefSeq, a predicted model, not a curated record
GGUAGGACUGUUUUGCCCUUUGUAAAGAUGGCCGAAUAGGCUUCCGACCCUAGUGAGAGCAGAGUGCGAGUUUUCAGGAGUAUGGCUCGAGAAGACGAGGAAAAGCGAGUUUGUGGCUCCAGCGGAAAGUAGACAGAGCACUGCAGUCGCAACAGGCUUCUGAGGUGUUCCGAGAGCCCAGCGGACUGCCACCGUCUGGGCCUCGUUCCUGCGGGAAUCGUGACCAAGAUGUGGAACAGCGGAUUUGAAAGCUAUGGCGGCUCUGCCUUUGGCGGAGCGGGCGGCUACACACAGUCUCCUGGGGGCUUUGGAUCGCCGACACCUUCUCAGGCUGAAAGGAAA